AACAUUUUUAUGGUGCUCGCUUUGGCAGCACAUAUACAGAGAAGAUUAGCAUAGCCCCUGUGUAAGGAUGACACGCAAAUUUGUGAAGCGUUCCAUAUUGUU
Small nuclear RNA from Callithrix jacchus (white-tufted-ear marmoset), 102 nucleotides. NCBI's taxonomy places the organism in Eukaryota, Metazoa, Chordata, Mammalia, Primates, Cebidae. The record is from Ensembl.